This 265-nucleotide ribosomal RNA is filed under the name uncultured bacterium. Its description in RNAcentral is "partial 16S ribosomal RNA". It matches the Rfam family "Bacterial small subunit ribosomal RNA", at positions 793 to 1055 of the family's 1533-position model. The record is from RNAcentral.
GUCCACGCUGUAAACGAUGAGCACUCGAUGUGCGAGGUAUCCACUCCUCGCGUGUCACAGCUAACGCAUUAAGUGCUCCGCCUGGGGGACUACGGUCGCAAGACUAAAACUCAAAGGAAUUGACGGGGGCCCGCACAAGCGGUGGAGGAUGUGGUUUAAUUUCGACGCAACGCGAAGAACCUUACCUGGGCUUGACAUCCCGCGACCGCCUCAGAGAUGGGGUUUUCCUUUCGGGACGCGGAGACAGGUGCUGCAUGGCUGUCGU